CAAACAUUUAUGCUUUGCUUCCCUUUUAAAUGUAAGUUCCUAUUUUAAAUCAUCUCUGUGAACACAUAUAACUGUACGCUUUCAGGAAAAGCCAGGUCAUAUCUUGAAUGCUUUGCUGCUUAGAAAUUUCUUCUGCCAGAUACCCUAUGUCAUCUCUCUCAAAUGCAAAGCUCCACAGAUGUCUAGGGCAGGGACAAAAUGCCACCAGUCUCUUUGCUAAAGCAUAGCAAGAGUGAAUUAAACCUCUUUUCUUUAUAAAUUACCCAGUCUCAGAUAUUUCUUUAUAGCAGUGUGAGAACAGAGUAAUACAAAGGUUGAGGUCAUUAAGAGACCACAAGCAUGAAAAUGAAAAUGACUACUAUAAAAGGCAUGAAAGUGAACAUUAGAAUAAAGGUGAAGUUAGGUAUAACACAACAAACAUAAAGAUGACCACUGGAAAAGUUAAGAUCGCAUGUGAGACUUCAAGUGUAAUGAUGACUGCUGAAACAAUGUCAGUGUUCAAAGUAUGAGGCAAAAAGUAUAAGGAUGAUUCUGAAAUAAGCCAAGGUAAACGUUCAACAAGCAUUAUGAUGAAUUCUGGUAAAGGUUAAGGUCCUGUGUGAGACGAAAACCAUGAGGAUGACAGCUGGAAUAUGUUAAGGUUCAAUGUGCAGCAGAGAGCUAGAAGGACACUACUGGAAUAAUGUUACACUUGAGUGUGAGACUGCUAGCAAGAAGUUGAUAGCUGGGAUAAGGAUAAAGGUAAGACCUAAACAAUAAGGAUGAAGGUUACUACUAAAAUAAGGGUAGUAUUCAGUGUGAGAUAGUAAGCAGGAAGGUGACCACUGGAAUAAGGAUAGCAUUUGUUUUGAGAAAGGAGGCAUGAAGAUGACCUCUGGAAUAAGGCAAAGUUUCAGUAUGAGAAAAGGAGUACAAAAAUGAUGGAUAGAAUAAGGCUAUAGUUCAAUGAAACUAUAAUAAAAAUGAAGAUGACUGCUGGAAUAUGUUUAUGGUUCAGUGUGAGACAAAAUACAUGAAGAUGAUUGUAGAAAUAAUGCUAAGUUUCCCUUUGAGACUUCAGCCGUGAAGUGGAAUCAUGGGAUAAGGUUAAGUUUCAGUGUAUGAAAAUUAGCAUGAAAAUGAUUGCUUGAAUAAUGUUCAGGUUCAGUGUGAGACAAGCAUGAUAAUGACUACUGGGAUACAUUUCUAAUUCGCUGUGAGAGCAAGAAUGAAAAUGACCACAUUAAUAAGGUUAUGUUUCACAGUGAGGAAAUAAGCAUGAAAAUUACCACUAGGAUUAGGUAAAAGUUCAAUUUCUGACAACGUGCAUGCAGAUGACCACUGGAAUAAGAUUAUCCUGUGUGAGAAAACCACCGUGGAAUGACGCUGGAAUAUGUCUAUUUUUUUAGUGGGAGACAAAGAACAGGAAUGUGAACACUGGAAUAAGGAAACAGUUUAGUAUGAGAGUAGCAUGAAGAUGACCGCUAUAAUAAUGUUAAGCUUCAGUUGAGACAGCAAGCUUGAAGAAUAAUACUGGAAUAUGUGUAUACUUUAUUGUGACAUAACAAUAGGAAAACAUCCAACCAAAUAAAGGCUUAGUGGUUUGGAAUUUUAAAAGCUCAAAUCAAGAAUGACUCUCCAAGGAAAUGUAUCCAUAGUUCCAUUAAAUUGGAAACUGACACUGAGCUAUUGUCCUCUGUCCAUUUUCAUCCCCGUGGCCCAAAAAAACUGAUAAUUGAGAAGAAAUUACCAGGCUGAAAGAGUGAGUGACUCAUCCAGACUACCAAAGGGAAUUUGGGUUGCUGCAUCACAAUGGGGAAAAGAAGACUACUUCUGGAACUGAGGAGAUUCACUGGGCCAUCGCUUAGCACUCCCAAAUCCAGUUUUAAAGUUCAGUGGAAAACUGAUGCAACUCCAGGAUGACAUCACCUGCAAGGACUCAGAUCCUUUGGCAAUGAAUGCUUGAGUCACCCUACCAGAUGUGCUGGGACCGACUUCAGAGUGUCCCUGAGUCAUGACUGCUUGACUCCACAGAUGGCUUCAGGAAGACAGCACAGAAGAGAGACCUGUGAAAGUUGAUGGAAUUCAGAAUUACCUGAAGGAGAAGCAUCAAGUAGUCCUGGAAACCCCUCUGCAUUUCCCCUCCCUAACACACACACACACACACACACACACACACACAGACACACACACUUGACCAAAAGAGUCGGCUUUGCAUGAAUAUAUUUCUAGAAUCUAUGUUGGUCCGUGGACAUGUCUAUCAAUUCCUGUUUCAUUUACUAAUCCUACAAAGUAAGUUUCAAGUCCAGAAUGACAAGCUCCCCCUUUAACAUAAUCCUUCACAUUUUUUUGCAGUAUAAUUUCAUCUGGUCUUCCAGUUACACAAACACUCAAAAUUCUGCUGUGACUUAUGAUUAGGAUUGCACUGGAUUUACCGAUUUAUUUAGAGGAUAAUUGAUGCCAUUGCAAAAAUUGAUCCUCCUCUUAAGAAAAAUGUGGUAUUUUAAAAUCUUAUUUGAAUAUUCAAACUGGAAGCUCAUAAAAAGUUGCAUGUUUGUUUUCCUUAUAUGUGUCUUUAUCAUUUCCCUAGGUGUUUCAUAACGAUUGUGACCAAUGUAAGUAAGAUAUUUUAUUUCUAUUAUAUUCCCUAUUUAUUGGAAGAAUAUGCAAUUUUUUCAUUUAUUUAUUUUUGUUGU
Molecule: long non-coding RNA, 2675 nt
Organism: Cercocebus atys (sooty mangabey)
Lineage: Eukaryota; Metazoa; Chordata; Mammalia; Primates; Cercopithecidae
Exons: 3
Source: RefSeq, a predicted model, not a curated record